CUGAUUCAUCCAAUGCGAAAUAAUUUUCCAAACUAUGGAUUAAAAGCAAAAGUAACAGCAAACAUAUGGCAUUUUGUGGAGGAAAAUAAAUAAUCCAUCGUAUUGUAAACACCAUGCCAGCUAAUUCCAUGGACACGGAGCCGUGGAACUGAGUCAGAGAAGGAGUCCCGGGAGGACUGUUUUUGACGAUGCACAGGUGGGCCUAUCAAUCCUCAGCCUGUUUACAUGGCUGCCAGAUGUUCGACACCAUGACCACGAGAAAGCCUGCGAGGAGUUUGCAGAUGCCACAACUCCACUUAACAAAUGCGAGUCAUGCUCCCGCGGGCCAAUUUACACUGGUUAGUUGUGACACCCCCUCAAGGCUAACACUAAUUUCACUAACGAUUUUGGCGGUGGAAGCGAUGCUAGCUGUGACCUUGCAGCAGUGUAAUGAUAUUGUCGGUGACUACACAAGGUGACUACCUCAUGAAGCUGGUUGAGAGAAUGCCAAGAGUGUGCAAAGCUGUUACCAUGGCAACGGGUGGCUACUUUGAAGAAUUUCAAAUAUGAAAUAUAUUUUGAUUUGUUUAACACUUUUUUUGGUUAGUACAUGAUUCCAUAUGUGUUAUUUCUUAGUGUUCAUGUCUUCAAUAUUAUUCUACAAUGCAG
RNAcentral lists this long non-coding RNA (648 nucleotides) under Salmo salar (Atlantic salmon). RNAcentral's name for it is "lncRNA (ENSSSAG00000114947.1, ENSSSAG00020029027.1)". The record is from RNAcentral. Lineage: Eukaryota; Metazoa; Chordata; Actinopteri; Salmoniformes; Salmonidae.